AUGCUCACAAAGAUACUCCGCAUGGAAGGCUGCUAAAAACUGCUCCCAAGUGGCUGGUGUAGGUAGGGUGGUCUGCUUGAGCUCCCACCAAUGACCUGCUUCCCCUACCAGCAUGUAGGAAGCAAGGGCAGCUCUCUGCUCAGGAACCACUCCCAAGGUCUUGAAAGCUCUCUCAGUCUUCGCCAACUAGUACUGGGCAUCUUCGAAAAAGGAUCCCC
This 218-nucleotide long non-coding RNA is filed under the name Carica papaya (papaya). RNAcentral's name for it is "long non-coding RNA (CPAP_LNC007120)". The record is from RNAcentral. Lineage: Eukaryota; Viridiplantae; Streptophyta; Magnoliopsida; Brassicales; Caricaceae.